GCCGCACUAGCCCAAUCUGGCAGAGGCACUGAGCUCAGACCUCAGAGGUUCUUGGUUCGAAUCCAAGGUGUUGCA
RNAcentral lists this transfer RNA (75 nucleotides) under Prosthecobacter dejongeii. It matches the Rfam family "tRNA". From Rfam's summary of the family: Transfer RNA (tRNA) molecules are approximately 80 nucleotides in length. Their secondary structure includes four short double-helical elements and three loops (D, anti-codon, and T loops). Further hydrogen bonds mediate the characteristic L-shaped molecular structure. tRNAs have two regions of fundamental functional importance: the anti-codon, which is responsible for specific mRNA codon recognition, and the 3' end, to which the tRNAs corresponding amino acid is attached (by aminoacyl-tRNA synthetases). tRNAs cope with the degeneracy of the genetic code in two manners: having more than one tRNA (with a specific anti-codon) for a particular amino acid; and 'wobble' base-pairing, i.e. permitting non-standard base-pairing at the 3rd anti-codon position. Lineage: Bacteria; Pseudomonadati; Verrucomicrobiota; Verrucomicrobiia; Verrucomicrobiales; Verrucomicrobiaceae. The record is from Rfam by way of RNAcentral.